AUACGGAGGGUGCAAGCGUUGUCCGGAUUUAUUGGGUUUAAAGGGUGCGUAGGCGGACUAAUAAGUCAGAGGUGAAAGUUUGCAGCUUAACUGUAAAAUUGCCUUUGAAACUGUUAGUCUUGAGUAUAGUUGAGGUGGGCGGAAUGUGUCAUGUAGCGGUGAAAUGCUUAGAUAUGAUACAGAACACCGAUUGCGAAGGCAGCUCACUAAGCCGAUAUUGACGCUCAGGCACGAAAGCGUGGGUAGCGAACAGGAUUAGAUACCCUAGUAGUCC
Molecule: ribosomal RNA, 274 nt
Filed under: uncultured bacterium
Lineage: Bacteria
Description: partial 16S ribosomal RNA
Rfam family: Bacterial small subunit ribosomal RNA
Source: RNAcentral